This 95-nucleotide ribosomal RNA is filed under the name Acanthosepion pharaonis. Lineage: Eukaryota; Metazoa; Mollusca; Cephalopoda; Sepiida; Sepiidae. The record is from RNAcentral.
GAAACACUGGUUCCCAUAUGAUCGCCAUAGUUAAGCAACAUAGAGCCUGGUCAAUACCUAGGUGGUUGACUGCUUGGGAAUACCAGGUGCUGUAA